Molecule: ribosomal RNA, 497 nt
Filed under: uncultured bacterium
Lineage: Bacteria
Description: partial 16S ribosomal RNA
Rfam family: Bacterial small subunit ribosomal RNA
Source: RNAcentral
GAUGAACGCUGGCGGCGUGCCUAAUACAUGCAAGUCGAGCGAACAGACGAGGAGCUUGCUCCUCUGACGUUAGCGGCGGACGGGUGAGUAACACGUGGAUAACCUACCUAUAAGACUGGGAUAACUUCGGGAAACCGGAGCUAAUACCGGAUAAUAUAUUGAACCGCAUGGUUCAAUAGUGAAAGACGGUUUUGCUGUCACUUAUAGAUGGAUCCGCGCCGCAUUAGCUAGUUGGUAAGGUAACGGCUUACCAAGGCAACGAUGCGUAGCCGACCUGAGAGGGUGAUCGGCCACACUGGAACUGAGACACGGUCCAGACUCCUACGGGAGGCAGCAGUAGGGAAUCUUCCGCAAUGGGCGAAAGCCUGACGGAGCAACGCCGCGUGAGUGAUGAAGGUCUUCGGAUCGUAAAACUCUUUUAUUAGGGAAGAACAAAUGUGUAAGUAACUAUGCACGUCUUGACGGUACCUAAUCAGAAAGCCACGGCUAACUCCGUG